Molecule: ribosomal RNA, 492 nt
Filed under: Streptomyces sp.
Lineage: Bacteria; Bacillati; Actinomycetota; Actinomycetes; Kitasatosporales; Streptomycetaceae
Description: bacterial SSU rRNA
Rfam family: Bacterial small subunit ribosomal RNA
Source: RNAcentral
AUUGCAAAGUCGAACGAUGAAGCCCUUCGGGGUGGAUUAGUGGCGAACGGGUGAGUAACACGUGGGCAAUCUGCCCUUCACUCUGGGACAAGCCCUGGAAACGGGGUCUAAUACCGGAUAACACUCUGUCCCGCAUGGGACGGGGUUGAAAGCUCCGGCGGUGAAGGAUGAGCCCGCGGCCUAUCAGCUUGUUGGUGGGGUGAUGGCCUACCAAGGCGACGACGGGUAGCCGGCCUGAGAGGGCGACCGGCCACACUGGGACUGAGACACGGCCCAGACUCCUACGGGAGGCAGCAGUGGGGAAUAUUGCACAAUGGGCGAAAGCCUGAUGCAGCGACGCCGCGUGAGGGAUGACGGCCUUCGGGUUGUAAACCUCUUUCAGCAGGGAAGAAGCGAGAGUGACGGUACCUGCAGAAGAAGCGCCGGCUAACUACGUGUCAGCAGCCGCGGUAAUACGUAGGGGCGCAAGCGUUGUCCGGAAUUUUUUGGGGC